GACGAACGCUGGCGGCGUGCUUAACACAUGCAAGUCGAGCGGUAAGGCCCUUUCGGGGGUACACGAGCGGCGAACGGGUGAGUAACACGUGGGUGACCUGCCCUCAGCUCUGGGAUAAGCCUGGGAAACCGGGUCUAAUACCGGAUAUGACUCCAUGACGCAUGUUGUGGGGUGGAAAGCCUUGUGCGGCUGGGGAUGGGCCCGCGGCCUAUCAGCUUGUUGGUGGGGUGAUGGCCUACCAAGGCGACGACGGGUAGCCGGCCUGAGAGGGCGACCGGCCACACUGGGACUGAGACACGGCCCAGACUCCUACGGGAGGCAGCAGUGGGGAAUCUUGCGCAAUGGGCGAAAGCCUGACGCAGCGACGCCGCGUGAGGGAUGACGGCCUGUGU
Molecule: ribosomal RNA, 392 nt
Filed under: uncultured bacterium
Lineage: Bacteria
Description: bacterial SSU rRNA
Rfam family: Bacterial small subunit ribosomal RNA
Source: RNAcentral